Molecule: ribosomal RNA, 353 nt
Filed under: Nakaseomyces glabratus
Lineage: Eukaryota; Fungi; Ascomycota; Saccharomycetes; Saccharomycetales; Saccharomycetaceae
Description: eukaryotic LSU rRNA
Rfam family: Eukaryotic large subunit ribosomal RNA
Source: RNAcentral
GUUUGACCUCAAAUCAGGUAGGGUUACCCGCUGAACUUAAGCAUAUCAAUAAGCGGAGGAAAAGAAACCAACUGGGAUUGCCUUAGUAACGGCGAGUGAAGCGGCAAAAGCUCAAAUUUGAAAUCUGGUACCUUUGGUGCCCGAGUUGUAAUUUGGAGAGUACCACUUUGGGACUGUACUUUGCCUAUGUUCCUUGGAACAGGACGUCAUGGAGGGUGAGAAUCCCGUGUGGCGAGGGUGUCAGUUCUUUGUAAAGGGUGCUCGAAGAGUCGAGUUGUUUGGGAAUGCAGCUCUAAGUGGGUGGUAAAUUCCAUCUAAAGCUAAAUACAGGCGAGAGACCGAUAGCGAACAAG